RNAcentral lists this long non-coding RNA (1175 nucleotides) under Olea europaea (common olive). RNAcentral describes it as "long non-coding RNA (OEUR_LNC013070)". The record is from RNAcentral. Lineage: Eukaryota; Viridiplantae; Streptophyta; Magnoliopsida; Lamiales; Oleaceae.
AAAAAAAAAAAAAAAUCUUGAGUCUGUCCAUAACUGCAUUUUAGGAGAAUACAUAUUUUUUGCCCUUUUGAGUUUUUGUCUUGGACGGUCACUUAUUACUGUAUCAACCAUGUGAGACUGAAUUCUAUUUAUUGACAACACAACUGCUGACAUCAUUUUUGUGUUGUCCAAACUCAUUGGUUAUUUUUAUUUCUUUUUGAGAAAUGCUAUUUGGCCAGGGUCUCUUUCUUGUUUUCUUCAUUUUGAACGGCAAAUCGUAUCUCUGAAAGAUGAAUGAUGUCUUCUUUUUCUUCCUUGUAGGAUCACAUGUCAUAUUUUAGGCAGAGGACAGUAAAGGAGAUUUUGCAUAUGAAAGCCGAGUGAUAAAGAGAGAACGUAGGGGUUCAAUUUCUGUGCUGUACUUUCGAUUUGUUAAAGCCAGCAAAUGAACAUAUCUCAGUCGGCAAAACGUUUGAAAGCCAAUGAUACAACACAUUAGGCAGGCACUGGUCACGACAUGGAUAGCUCGUCCCGUGCUGAUGCUACUCGGUUAUAUUAUCGAUUGCUGAAAUUGUUGUUUGUGAAACCUGGCGAACAAACUGGUGAACGUAUUCUUCUUCAUAAACUCUUGAGCACUGAAUCUGAUUUUUGCAGGAUCGAGUACGAGAGUGUUUGCUCUACAUUUUCUUUUCCAUUUUUUUUGCAAAAUUUUUGAAUUUUGAUGUAACGGUAUAUAUGGUCUUCUAGUGUCUAGUGAACUCACAAUUGUAUUGCCAGUUAGGAAAUAUUUGAUUUAUGAUUGAAUAAAGUCUAUCAUAUCUAAAAUACAGUCCUAACUUGAUAUUUAACUAUGGCAUUGUCUCAUUAACGACUAAAUUACAGGAGAUAAAUGCAACAGACCUCGACUUGUAUUUGACUUUGGAAGGGAUGAAUUUAUCAGGAUGGCAAAAAAAAUUCGUCAAACCCGAUACCCGUAACGAAUGGGGUGGAAAUAAGCGUAUUCGGGACAGGGGGAGUGCUUUGCCCGGGGGUUAAAUAUUCAAAUGGUGAUUCAAUUUUGUACAACAAUUUUUAUAGACCAUUAAAUUUCAAAAAAAUAAAAAUAAAAUUGAAUGGCCAAUGAACUUAUCAAAUUAUCAUCUUAUUGAUUAUUAAACUUUAAAAUAUUUUUGGAUAGUCACCAAAUUUUUAACAUU